UUACAGUUUGAUUCUAACUGUCUUAUUAGCUUUAGCAGAUCAAUAUACAUGUAAAUCAUAAAUUGCCCGCAUAAAUAUCUUUAAAAUUACUAAAAGUAUAUUUUUAUUCUGUAUAAAGACCUCUAAAUACAGAAAGCGCCACAGUAAAUAACACUACUAAUAUAUGAAAAUAAGAAGUGAAUUCUGUUUAUAGAAUUGGCUCAAUUCGUGCCAGCAGCUGCGGUUAUACGAUAAAUUCAAGUUAAUAUAUUAUAAGUUAUAAAUAUGAUAAAAUAAAAUAUUUUAAAGGUAUAAUUUAUAUAAUAUGAGAACCACACUUAACAAAAAUUUUUAAAAGUCAUAAUAAAAAACACGGAUUAGAUACCCGUCUAUUUAUGAUAUAUAAUAUAUAACUGGAUAAUACGAAUUAAAAUUUAAAACUCAAAGAUUUUGGCGGUGUUUUAACAAACCAGGGGAACCUGUCUCAUAACUCGAUAGUCCACGAAUAUUUUACCUUUUCUUGAAAUAUACAGCCUGUAUACUGCCGUCGUAAGUAAACCUUUAAAAGAUAAGUUUACAGAAAUGAUAUACACCAUUUACGUCAGGUCAUAGUGCAGCCAAUGUUAAGGCGAAGAUGGGUUACAACCUAUACAAAGAUACGUAAAAAUAUAUUAAUUUAAUAUUUAAAAGGAGGACUUGGGUGUAAUUAUAUACAUAAAAAUAUAAUGAAGAUGAAUCUAAAACAUGCACAUAUCGCCCGUCACUCCCACCUAAAGGUGAGAUAAGUCGUAACAAAGUAGGUGUAACGGAAGUUGUACCUGU
Molecule: non-coding RNA, 801 nt
Filed under: Drawida ghilarovi
Lineage: Eukaryota; Metazoa; Annelida; Clitellata; Moniligastrida; Moniligastridae
Source: RNAcentral